Panicum virgatum (switchgrass) is the source of this 2346-nucleotide long non-coding RNA. RefSeq lists it as uncharacterized. The transcript is spliced from 2 exons. The record is from RefSeq and is a predicted model, not a curated record. NCBI's taxonomy places the organism in Eukaryota, Viridiplantae, Streptophyta, Magnoliopsida, Poales, Poaceae.
CUUGUUUUUUGGAAGCUGGCAGUUAUGAAGCCACUCUUUUGGUGUUCAGGUUUUACAACAUCUCACUCUCACCUUAAGAAGGAGAAGAAUCUUUUUUUAGGAAUUUUUUUUAAUUCUAUUACCAAGUCAUUACUUCUUGGUUUCUGCCAUGAUUAACACUAUUGUAUUUUACUUUUUGGUUUAAUAGAUUUUGAUGUAUUAUUUAAUAUAGAAAAGAGUAUAUGAAAUACAUAUUCGGUUUCUUUACCUGACAAAAACUAUUGCUUUCUUUUCGCAAUUUAUUUGAUGGAUCCGUCACUCCUUGCAAUUUUUAUUCUGCUACCUCCACUAAUUUAUUCUGCAAUUUUCCAUUAAUUUACACCUUGAUUGAUUGAUUUGGUUUUUGCAGGUUGUGUGGCUCAUCUUCAAGAAUUUAGUCCACUCAAGUACAUAUACAAGGUAUGUUGCCAAUCAACACAAUUCUUACAUACCUUCUUUUUUUUAUAUGUGUUGGUGCAAAUAAAGGCAUUCAAAUGAUCAUGACGAUGCAAUGACAAGGGACAAGGAAAUGCCUACAUGGCUCAAUUUGAGGUAAAUAAAAACAAUUGUUCUACAAAUACUCUCUUGCUAAUAAUAUAUAGUUGCAUCUUGAAAACAUUCAGCACAGGCCCGAUUAGAUAAUGUCCUUGUAUGCUUCUGUUAGGUGCUUGCUAGCAAACAAAUAAAUAUUACCUAUUUACAUUCCAUAGUCUAUUAUAUAUAUGUUCCACCCUUGUUUCAUAUGACUACGAACAAAACUAUUCAUAUACACAGCUACAACACAUCCAAAAAAAUAAAAAGAGCAAAAACCAAAGGCGCACCAAGGCAUAGGUAUGACUAGAAAGCCUGGGGCGCGGCGUUGCCGCGCCACCCUUGAGAUACCAGUGGUGACCAAUGUUUAUACCAAUAUUGAUGAUGUGCUGGGUUCACGAGCUUCACAAUUUUAGUCAGUUUAGAUCAUGGAAUCUGUUAGCAAGUGUGAAAGAGAGAGAGCCUAACAAAGCAGCGGCAGUAUUCAUAGUUGUCGCGCAUGUGGAAGAAUGCAAUGCGUCUGCCUGUAAGUAAGCUGAUUGUAUACAUCUUCUUAUACAUAAGUUAAUAGAACAGAUAGUGAUGGACUAAGUAAGAAAACAGAUAGUUGCUUUUCCAUUUUACAUCAGAGAAAUUCAUAAUGGAAACAUUCAUUUAUGCUUUUUUUUUUGGUGAUCUGCUCGCAAGUAUCCUUCAUCCUAGAGCAGCAGGAGGGUGUGGAGCACUACCUGCCAUGGCUAUGCCGCACACUAUGGAGGAGGACGAAGGGUGGCACCUUAACCAGCUCCAGCCUCCAGAAGCUUAUCAGAAGCAAUCAAGCUACCAGCAGAACAAACUUCUUCCAGUUCAAUCCAAACAAAAACUUGCUCCGGGCUUUUAUUACAAAAAAAAGGCAAGAUCAAGACACACCCUAGAACACCCAAAAAAAACUUAAUAUAGGUAAGCAUCAGCCAUAUUUCCUUAUAUAUUUCAGGAACCGGCAAGACGCAGGGACUUCAAAGUCAAGUUCAUCAGCACCAAAAAAAUUGUUAGGCUGUACUUUCUAGCAAUAUGUAACCAUGUAUUCCAAUUAACUACGUUUGUAUUACACAAAAAAAUAGCAUUCGCUGCUUCAAUGCCUGUGGCAAACAUAUACAUGUUAUGAUUUACCAAUCUUGAGAGAAGCCAAGCCUACAUAGGGGGUAUCUGCAAAGCAGGGCACACUACUUCCAAUAUAAUGCAAGAAAGGAUUUACUCCCAGUCUUCAUUACAAACAAGACCAAAGAAAAACCAUACUGCUUAGAGCACUAACUAAGUCAGAAUGAAAAUAGGUUGCCGCCAUCUGAACCUACCUCAAUACUUUGCAAGCUGACAUCAAUUUAUUGCUAUUUCAAAUUAAAUUGCAAUUAUUGCAGGUUAGGAACAACACAGCUAUCCUAGGGACUACACAUCCAGCACCGCCUAUCCCUUAGGUGUGAUAAUGGGUAUUGCUGUUUGAAUAGAAUUCAAUGAAAUCAUAAUUGAUUUCAGAUAAAUAACUCCUAAAGAGUCGUUUAUGUUGAGGUCGGUAUUGUGACAGGGGUAAAUAUCCGUUUGUGGAGAGAUCACAUUAACAGUUUGACACUAUGAUAUGCUAAAGAAGUAAAGAAUGGAGAGGUAUCAGACCAAGAAGAGGUUUGUACUGACCCCGGCUCUCUAGUAAAGUCUCAAGCUAUGCCAGAAAAUAUGAUAGGCAGUAGCGCUUCUGUACUAAUAUGUAGUUAUGUAUUAUACAUGAGAAAUGAUUGUGUUGUAUCAAUUAUCAUAUACCUACCAACA